This 69-nucleotide transfer RNA is filed under the name Torleya grandiforceps. Its description in RNAcentral is "tRNA-Gln". It matches the Rfam family "tRNA". Rfam says of the family: Transfer RNA (tRNA) molecules are approximately 80 nucleotides in length. Their secondary structure includes four short double-helical elements and three loops (D, anti-codon, and T loops). The record is from RNAcentral. Lineage: Eukaryota; Metazoa; Arthropoda; Insecta; Ephemeroptera; Ephemerellidae.
UAUUUAUUGGUGUAAGAGGCACAUAAGUUUUUGAUACUUAAGGACAUAGUUUAAUUCUAUUAUAAGUAA